AGGUUUGUAGGACUAUAGUACUUGGCUUCGAACCAAGGUGUCUAGGGUUCAAGUCCCUCCAAGCCUC
RNAcentral lists this transfer RNA (67 nucleotides) under Legionella pneumophila. RNAcentral's name for it is "tRNA-Leu". It matches the Rfam family "tRNA". Rfam says of the family: Transfer RNA (tRNA) molecules are approximately 80 nucleotides in length. Their secondary structure includes four short double-helical elements and three loops (D, anti-codon, and T loops). The record is from RNAcentral. Lineage: Bacteria; Pseudomonadati; Pseudomonadota; Gammaproteobacteria; Legionellales; Legionellaceae.